Molecule: ribosomal RNA, 551 nt
Filed under: uncultured bacterium
Lineage: Bacteria
Description: bacterial SSU rRNA
Rfam family: Bacterial small subunit ribosomal RNA
Source: RNAcentral
CUCCUACGGGAGGCAGCAGUGGGGAAUUUUCCGCAAUGGGCGAAAGCCUGACGGAGUGACGCCGCGUGGGGGACGAAGGCCUUCGGGUCGUAAACCCCUGUCAGAGGGAAAGAAGGGUCGGUGCGUGAAUAGCGCAUCGAUCUGACGGUACCUUCAGAGGAAGCCCCGGCUAACUCUGUGCCAGCAGCCGCGGUAAUACAGAGGGGGCAAGCGUUGCUCGGAAUCACUGGGCGUAAAGGGCGCGUAGGCGGGAUGGCAAGUCGGUCGUGAAAUCCCUCGGCUCAACUCAGGGGGGUCGGCCGAUACUGCCGUUCUUGAGUGCUGCAGAGGAGACUGGAAUUCCCGGUGUAGCGGUGAAAUGUGUAGAGAUCGGGAGGAACACCGGUGGCGAAGGCGGGUCUCUGGGCAUUCCCUGACGCUGAGGCGCGAAAGCGUGGGGAGCAAACGGGAUUAGAUACCCCGGUAGUCCACGCGGUAAACGAUGGCGACUAGGUGUGGGGGGGAUCAAUUCCCUUCCGUGCCGCAGCUAACGCAUUAAGUCGUCCGCCUGG